Molecule: ribosomal RNA, 280 nt
Filed under: Escherichia coli
Lineage: Bacteria; Pseudomonadati; Pseudomonadota; Gammaproteobacteria; Enterobacterales; Enterobacteriaceae
Description: partial 23S ribosomal RNA
Rfam family: Bacterial large subunit ribosomal RNA
Source: RNAcentral
CGAAUGCUGACAUAAGUAACGAUAAAGCGGGUGAAAAGCCCGCUCGCCGGAAGACCAAGGGUUCCUGUCCAACGUUAAUCGGGGCAGGGUGAGUCGACCCCUAAGGCGAGGCCGAAAGGCGUAGUCGAUGGGAAACAGGUUAAUAUUCCUGUACUUGGUGUUACUGCGAAGGGGGGACGGAGAAGGCUAUGUUGGCCGGGCGACGGUUGUCCCGGUUUAAGCGUGUAGGCUGGUUUUCCAGGCAAAUCCGGAAAAUCAAGGCUGAGGCGUGAUGACGAGG